RNAcentral lists this ribosomal RNA (503 nucleotides) under uncultured Actinomycetes bacterium. RNAcentral describes it as "bacterial SSU rRNA". It matches the Rfam family "Bacterial small subunit ribosomal RNA", at positions 8 to 522 of the family's 1533-position model. The record is from RNAcentral. Lineage: Bacteria; Bacillati; Actinomycetota; Actinomycetes.
AGAGUUUGAUCAUGGCUCAGGACGAACGCUGGCGGCGUGCUUAACACAUGCAAGUCGAACGGUGAUAAUCAAGCUUGCUUGGUUUGAUCAGUGGCGAACGGGUGAGUAACACGUGAGUAACCUGCCCCAGACUCUGGGAUAACCCCGGGAAACCGGAGCUAAUACCGGAUAUGACCCUCGUACGCAUGUGCAGGGGGUGGAAAGUUUUUCGGUCUGGGAUGGGCUCGCGGCCUAUCAGCUUGUUGGUGAGGUAGUGGCUCACCAAGGCGACGACGGGUAGCCGGCCUGAGAGGGCGACCGGCCACACUGGGACUGAGACACGGCCCAGACUCCUACGGGAGGCAGCAGUGGGGAAUAUUGCACAAUGGGCGGAAGCCUGAUGCAGCGACGCCGCGUGAGGGAUGACGGCCUUCGGGUUGUAAACCUCUUUCAGCAGGGAAGAAGCGAAAGUGACGGUACCUGCAGAAGAAGCACCGGCUAACUACGUGCCAGCAGCCGCGGUA